AUCGAUANUCCGCGUUAAUUUUACUUAAAUUUAAAAUUUAUAUACCGCCAUAUUAAGAAUUAAUUUAAAAAUAUUCCUCUUAAAAAUAAAUAAAAAAUUAGGUCAAGGUGUAAUUUACAUUAAAGAAUAAGAUAGAUUACACUAAAUACAAUUUAAAGAUUAUAAAUAAAUAUAUAUAUAUAAAUAAGAAUUUAAUAGUAAUAUUUAAACAAUAUUAUAAUAUGACAUAAAUAAUAAAUGUGUACACAUCGCCC
This 254-nucleotide ribosomal RNA is filed under the name Draconarius pseudospiralis. RNAcentral's name for it is "partial 12S ribosomal RNA". Lineage: Eukaryota; Metazoa; Arthropoda; Arachnida; Araneae; Agelenidae. The record is from RNAcentral.